UGAAACACUGGAAGAUUUGUCAACAUGAGGUCCCCUCUGCUGCACAGAAACAGCUGUCUUGGUCCAAGCAGCAUCCUGAGUUCAAAUCGGACUAAUGAAUUCAGGGAGAAUUUUCAUUACUUCUAAACACGUGGCCCAUGUAUUUUAAUUAUGACAAAGUCAGCAAAACACAUCAGCAAGGGAAGCAAAGGGAAAGCCAUGGGCUUGAGAGACCUGGGCUUCCCUUCCUGCUAUAGCAUAAGCUAUUCAGUGGCCAAGAAUAAGGGUAUUUUUUAGAUUUUCAACAGUGAACAUGUAAAGUCUUUAUACUAAAAGUUUAGUUGUUUGUAAAAAAAUUAUGUAAACAACAGUACUUAUUUUGAAGUUUAAUGCAUGAAAGUGUCUCUGAAUUUGGACUAAAUGCGCUGACCAUACUAAGUCUUUCUGACCAGAUCAGCAAACCAGCAGAAUAAGCAUUUCAACCAUUCUUCAUGAUGAAUGUGAUUACUGUUCCAAGUGAUGGGUUUUCAGGGGCUUUUUAAUUCAAUUUGUGAUUCCAGUUAGGCCUCCAUAAUAAUCAUCAACUUAAUUCUACCAUUAUGUAAAUCACUGCCUGACAGAGGGGUACCCUGGUGGAGAAAGAGAAAAGACCCACAAGCAAGAAUGCUCAGGAAAUAGAAUGCUUUGACUAAAUUAAUGUGAUAUUUAAUACCAAUUUUAAAAACUCCCUUUAAUUCAA
Molecule: non-coding RNA, 718 nt
Organism: Saimiri boliviensis boliviensis (Bolivian squirrel monkey)
Lineage: Eukaryota; Metazoa; Chordata; Mammalia; Primates; Cebidae
Source: RefSeq, a predicted model, not a curated record